This 253-nucleotide ribosomal RNA is filed under the name uncultured bacterium. RNAcentral describes it as "partial 16S ribosomal RNA". It matches the Rfam family "Bacterial small subunit ribosomal RNA", at positions 524 to 776 of the family's 1533-position model. The record is from RNAcentral.
UACGUAGGGCGCAAGCGUUGUCCGGAAUUACUGGGCGUAAAGCGUGCGCAGGCGGUUUUGUAAGUCUGUCGUGAAAGCCCCGGGCUUAACCUGGGAAUUGCGAUGGAGACUGCAAGGCUUGAAUCUGGCAGAGGGGGUAGAAUUCCACGUGUAGCAGUGAAAUGCGUAGAGAUGUGGAGGAACACCGAUGGCGAAGGCAGCCCCCUGGGUCAAGAUUGACGCCUCAUGCACGAAAGCGUGGGGAGCAAACAGG